RNAcentral lists this long non-coding RNA (2073 nucleotides) under Oryctolagus cuniculus (rabbit). RNAcentral's name for it is "lncRNA (ENSOCUG00000034912.1)". The record is from RNAcentral. Lineage: Eukaryota; Metazoa; Chordata; Mammalia; Lagomorpha; Leporidae.
GCCUGCUGCUGGAAUUGUCGGCUCUUUGCACCUGAGAGGCAUCUCGGCCUUCGUCCCCGGCCUGGAAGUCCUCAGUACUCUCCUGCCUCCUAUAAGCUGUGCAAACAGCACUGCGUCUACCCGGGACCCUCCAGUGCAGCCCAGCCCCUGGGACGCGACCUGCUCCCUCACUCCCUGUCCGCUGUGGCUGACUGCCACUCCCCUGAGUGGCGCUCUCCUGGGCUUCCCGUUCAGCCGACGUGAGCGCCAGAUGGUUGCUCCUAGGGGCGUGUGCGUCUCAGGGGAGCGGCCCUUGCAAUGGGACCGUUUCCAUGCCGGGCUUUCCUCCUCCUCCUGCACAAGGCCACCCUCACCAUGCUCCAGUCGAUACGUAGGUCUUGUUUCUCCUCCUGCAGCAAACCUGGACUCCCAGGCUGCCAGGAGGCCCUCUGCGCGGCACGAGUCCCACACCGUGGCUUCCAGGCUGCCGUAGCCCUACAGGCCUGGAGCUAAGUACAGGACUCCCCGCAGUUCUGGAGAACACUUCCAUCUGUGGCCAGGCCUCCAGCAUCUGCUGGCAAUGAGCAUAAACCCACAGCGCAGCAGGAGUCCCCGCUCUUGGCAUGCGACAUGCGUCUGAGUAACUUCGGUCCCUGUUCUCUUGUGGGACUGGGAGGACCCUAGCCAUGGCCUCUGGGGAGCACCAAGGACAUGCUGAGGCCGUGAGCAGGUCCUCCACGUGCUCCCACUGUGUGGACCUCACGUCGCCAGGGAAGCCCACUCACCAGUGCCAGUGGCGCUGCUGUCCUGGGGCCACUCUGCAGAGCCUCCGUGUGGACAGCCCUGGGCAGGCGUGCGCACUCGGCUGUGGGCUGGUCCCCACGCCCUGCACUCACUUCAUUUCUGACUUGGGCAUCGUGGCACGUGUGUGUACACACGUGGUAUACGUGUGUCCCUCCGACAUGGCUGCUGGUGGGUACUUCUCAGCAGAGGCUCCGUUGGCACGUGUCAUGCCACGCUCUGUCCCUGUGGGUGGGAGGGGCUGGGGCCACCUUGGGGGAGAAGUGCUGUGGGCUGCUGUCCGGAGGGGAUGACCCCUGGCUGUGCUUGAGAGUAUUCAAGACAGGUUCUUCCCAAGGGAUGAAAAUGAAAGUGCCAAAAAAUCCGAAUGUCAGCAGGCAUUUGAAAGCACUCCCCGAGCUCUGGGGUGAGGAACUCGGACUGCAGCGAGGGCAGUUUUUCCUGUAGAAUUAGACGAGGGUCUUCCACCCAGCCCUGCUGUCCUGUUCUGAAAAUCUCUCCUGAGGAAGUACAUUGGAGAUGGAAGAAUGCCAGGCCCAGGCACGCUCACAGCAGCCGUAUUUGUAACAUGCAAAGCUUGGAGCUGUCAAAGUGUCCAGCAUUAGAUUUGACAGAGCACAGAGCAGAGCAGCAUGCCUGGACCAUUACGUCGCAUUAGAAAUACUCCUGGGGAGCGUCUCAUGACACUGGACACUGUCCACUUCGUGUUGAUAAAGCUGUGUGCACAGCUGAUGGUGACUGUGCAGAGCCAGCCGUCACCGGGGGCGGCACUGGGCUAAGCCAGCUAAGUCAGCUGACUGUGCCUUCCUGCUCCCUGGUCCUCGUCUGAGACACGCGAUGCUACAGAGUCGGCUGGGCAGAGUGUCUGCCUUGCCAGGGACUUGUGAGCAGGAAUGAGGACAGAAAGCAGAGACGGGGCCUUGGAGAGUUGUCUCUCGGGUGCUGGACUUGGGUGAUUUGAACUUUCCUUGAUUUUUCUGAAUUUUCCAACUUGCCUAACUUUCAAAACCAUAAAAGGUAGAAAACAUACAAGGCACAGAGGGACAGUUUUUGUCCUCAGACCCUCUUGUCACUCCAAGCACAGCUGCCCAGAGACACGACGGGAGGGGUCAUGGCACCCUGUGGAGUUUGACCUUUGGCCUUUGGUGGUGCACCUGCGGCACCUGCGGGUGUGCUGCGGAGGAAGCCGCAGCAUCCCCACACAGGCCGUUCUAAAGUGCUGCGAGCUCCCGGGGAGUCAAAGCGCUCUCCCUGGCACAGAACAACUAGGCGGGCAGAAGUUAAGCAGACAGG